Triticum dicoccoides is the source of this 2418-nucleotide long non-coding RNA. RefSeq lists it as uncharacterized. The record is from RefSeq and is a predicted model, not a curated record. NCBI's taxonomy places the organism in Eukaryota, Viridiplantae, Streptophyta, Magnoliopsida, Poales, Poaceae. The transcript is spliced from 11 exons.
GGCGCAAGACCAUGCCGGCUAUUCCCUACACCAUGCAAAACCCUAGCUCCCGUCUGAUACGCACUGCAUCUUCCCCCUUCGGUAGAUCUUCGAGUACAACGGGAGUGCCGUGGUGGCGAUGGCGGGGAAGAACUGCUUCGUGAUCGCCAGCGACCGGCGCCUGGGCUUGUAGCUGCAGACAGUCGCCACUGACUUCCAGAGGGUGUUCAAGAUCCACGGCAAGUUGUACAUUGGCCUCUCUGGCCUUGCCACGGACGCCCAGAUGUUGUUGGUCUUGAAUCCUCAAUUGGCGGUUUCUGGUCGUUAGCUGAUCGCCCCUAUUUGGUGGCUUUCGUUGGUUUAGGGUUUGGGUUUGACAUGUGUGCUGUGUUACGUGUUUGUAGGUACUAGCGGUUGGUGUUCAAGCAUGAACUGUACCAGCUUCGGGAGGAGAGGGACAUGAAGCCUGAGACCUUUGCCAGCCUUGUCUCCACCCUCCUCUAAGAGAAAUGGUUUGGGCCAUACUUCUGCCAACCAAUUAUUGUUGGGCUAGGUGAAAAUGAUUAGCCAUUUAUAUGUACCAUGGACUGCAUUGGUGCCAAGUAUGCAUCAUUUAUUUUUCUGACAAUUCUAAGCCAGCGCAAGAAGAAAACAAAGUAUUAUCACAUGCCAUUGAGGAUGAUCAGGAGUACUAGCGCCCUGUCCGUCCAUGCUCCCCAUCACCGCCGUUGCCGCUGCCAUUGCUAAGGAGGACUGCUGACACUAAUGCUACGAGCUGCCCACAUCAUGACCAUCAGGGUGUUUGCUCAGUCUGCAUUGCUGCUGUUAUAUGCUGGCGGGCGUGUUGGCGUGUUGCCGCCCGAACCAGAUUUCAAGGUAAGGUCUUACUAUCAAUGCCAUGAUUGUCCCCUCGAUGCACUUCUUUGUAAAGUGCUUGAUAAAAUCUCGAUGGAGAUACAUGCAAUGCAGAUGCAGGUAAUACCGUAGACUAAUGUCUUUCAGUAUGAGCUCCAUGAUGGAGAUACAUGCAAUGCAGGUAAUAAAAACUCUACACGGAGAUACAUGCAAUGCAGGUGACAACGCACAACCAAGCUCCCAAACCGAGCCUGGUUGAAGGAUGGUCGUCCGCCAUCCCGUGUGUCGCUGGCAUCGGGUAUAUAGCCAUCUUCACCAGCCAGUCCAUCCACCUGUUGUUGAGGGCUGGAAGUCAUUGCGCUACUGGACAUAGCCAAGUGCGUAUGUGCUAUUGCACGAAUGUAAAGGGCUUCUGAGAAAGGAAGAGCAAUCGCUGCUGCUGUUGAGGGUGUUGAGAAGCAUUGGGGAACAUCUGUAUCUGGUCCCAAGUCCCAACACUUUUGUUGAAACUCUUCAUGAACGGAUGUUUAGGAAAUCACUGUCCAGAAUUAUAUAUGAGACUUCAAAGUAGCUCAAGAGAUAUAUUGAUGCAAGUUAUAGCCCAAAAUCUUCCACCCAAGUCUACUACAAUCCAGAAGGCUGUUAAAUUAUGAAUAAUGACUUGUCAUUAUCCAGAUGGGAGUGUUGUAACUGUUGUUGAUGUCCUUCAAAUAACUCAUGCUGCAAUUGCAACAGUGGAAACAGUGGAGCAACGGGCUCCGAGGUGACUUCUUUUAUGGUGCAGAGCUUCUGGGAUCUAACAAUGUCAACUGGGCCUCGAUGAUGAUGAUGAUUCCAGAAGGAUCAACUAAAGUGGCAUCCGAGACAAUAGAAAAUGGGAAGAUCAGCCUUCUUUCUGGCGUCAGGCUUAUCAAACACUUUUGGGUUCAAGAUUCAGGACAAACAAGGCAUGAUGCACAUAUUUAACUCUGACACGAGUAGACUGACAGAAUUGAUAAUGUUGAUUCUUUAAUCACUUCGCAAUGACGUUGAUAAAUCGAACCUACCUCAAAUUCUGUACGAAGAUGAUGAUCACCAUACUCUCAUCGGAUACCGACCUUAUACCGGCUGUGGACCAUGCAAAACAAAUCGGUUGGAAGGUCGCGCUAAGGAUUCAACAAAUGAUGACCAAUGUGAUGUGCAAAGAUAAGAGGGAGUGAGUGGAGACAGCAAUGAGUGGCUCAGCACGUCAACUAGCUGCCGCCUAUGAGGGGAGUGAGUGGAGACGGCCAGAUCUAUGCGGCAGAGGGGCGAUGGAAGCUCGAGUGGAAGAUUCCUCGCCGGCAUGGGAGCAAUUUGUCGGGCCAGAUCAACCCUAAAGCUCAUGCAUGGACGUGAGGUCAUGUCAUUAUUAAGAAGUUCAAUCUUUGAAAACUAAGAAUGUGGCGCUGUGUAAAAAUAGAAAGGUGCUAGAAAAUUGGCUCUGACCAAUUUCGUUUGUAGCUGUGAGCAUUGCUAAUUUCUGUCAACAUGAAUCAUAUCUGGACUAUUUAUAUAGCUACCAUACUGAACAAAAUUGUUUGAUUAAUGUAACGCUCCUAAAUA